CAGCCGUAAACUAUGCGCGUUAGGUGUAUCGGUGACCACGAGUUACCGAGGUGCCGAAGGGAAACCGUGAAACGUGCCGCCUGGGAAGUACGGUCGCAAGGCUGAAACUUAAAGGAAUUGGCGGGGGAGCACCACAACAGGUGGAGCCUGCGGUUUAAUUGGACUCAACGCCGGGAAGCUCACCGGAUAGGACAGCAGAAUGAUUGCCGGGCUGAAGACCCUGCAUGACUAGCUGAGAGGAGGUGCAGUGGCGUAGACGUCU
This 262-nucleotide ribosomal RNA is filed under the name uncultured archaeon. RNAcentral's name for it is "partial 16S ribosomal RNA". It matches the Rfam family "Archaeal small subunit ribosomal RNA", at positions 748 to 1009 of the family's 1478-position model. The record is from RNAcentral.